GUCGAACGAACUCUGGUAUUGAUUGGUGCUUGCAUCAUGAUUUACAUUUGAGUGAGUGGCGAACUGGUGAGUAACACGUGGGAAACCUGCCCAGAAGCGGGGGAUAACACCUGGAAACAGAUGCUAAUACCGCAUAACAACUUGGACCGCAUGGUCCGAGUUUGAAAGAUGGCUUCGGCUAUCACUUUUGGAUGGUCCCGCGGCGUAUUAGCUAGAUGGUGGGGUAACGGCUCACCAUGGCAAUGAUACGUAGCCGACCUGAGAGGGUAAUCGGCCACAUUGGGACUGAGACACGGCCCAAACUCCUACGGGAGGCAGCAGUAGGGAAUCUUCCACAAUGGACGAAAGUCUGAUGGAGCAACGCCGCGUGAGUGAAGAAGGGUUUCGGCUCGUAAAACUCUGUUGUUAAAGAAGAACAUAUCUGAGAGUAACUGUUCAGGUAUUGACGGUAUUUAACCAGAAAGCCACGGCUAACUACGUGCCAGCAGCCGCGGUAAUACGUAGGUGGCAAGCGUUGUCCGGAUUUAUUGGGCGUAAAGCGAGCGCAGGCGGUUUUUUAAGUCUGAUGUGAAAGCCUUCGGCUCAACCGAAGAAGUGCAUCGGAAACUGGGAAACUUGAGUGCAGAAGAGGACAGUGGAACUCCAUGUGUAGCGGUGAAAUGCGUAGAUAUAUGGAAGAACACCAGUGGCGAAGGCGGCUGUCUGGUCUGUAACUGACGCUGAGGCUCGAAAGUAUGGGUAGCAAACAGGAUUAGAUACCCUGGUAGUCCAUACCGUAAACGAUGAAUGCUAAGUGUUGGAGGGUUUCCGCCCUUCAGUGCUGCAGCUAACGCAUUAAGCAUUCCGCCUGGGGAGUACGGCCGCAAGGCUGAAACUCAAAGGAAUUGACGGGGGCCCGCACAAGCGGUGGAGCAUGUGGUUUAAUUCGAAGCUACGCGAAGAACCUUACCAGGUCUUGACAUACUAUGCAAAUCUAAGAGAUUAGACGUUCCCUUCGGGGACAUGGAUACAGGUGGUGCAUGGUUGUCGUCAGCUCGUGUCGUGAGAUGUUGGGUUAAGUCCCGCAACGAGCGCAACCCUUAUUAUCAGUUGCCAGCAUUAAGUUGGGCACUCUGGUGAGACUGCCGGUGACAAACCGGAGGAAGGUGGGGAUGACGUCAAAUCAUCAUGCCCCUUAUGACCUGGGCUACACACGUGCUACAAUGGAUGGUACAACGAGUUGCGAACUCGCGAGAGUAAGCUAAUCUCUUAAAGCCAUUCUCAGUUCGGAUUGUAGGCUGCAACUCGCCUACAUGAAGUCGGAAUCGCUAGUAAUCGCGGAUCAGCAUGCCGCGGUGAAUACGUUCCCGGGCCUUGUACACACCGCCCGUCACACCAUGAGAGUUUGUAACACCCAAAGUCGGUGGGGUAACCU
Molecule: ribosomal RNA, 1414 nt
Filed under: Lactiplantibacillus pentosus
Lineage: Bacteria; Bacillati; Bacillota; Bacilli; Lactobacillales; Lactobacillaceae
Also listed under: 1 other name
Description: bacterial SSU rRNA
Rfam family: Bacterial small subunit ribosomal RNA
Source: RNAcentral